Molecule: ribosomal RNA, 263 nt
Filed under: uncultured bacterium
Lineage: Bacteria
Description: partial 16S ribosomal RNA
Rfam family: Bacterial small subunit ribosomal RNA
Source: RNAcentral
CGACCGGCGCACGGGUGAGUAACACGUAUGCAACCUGGCCGUGACAGAUGGAUAACCGGGAGAAAUCCCGCCUAAUACAGCAUGACGCCGCGGGAGGACAUCCUCCCGCGGCCAAAGGGCGACCCGGUCACGGAUGGGCAUGCGGCGCAUUAGGUAGUUGGUGGGGCAACGGCCCACCAAGCCGACGAUGCGUAGGGGUUCUGAGAGGAAGGUCCCCCACAUUGGAACUGAGACACGGUCCAAACUCCUACGGAAGGCAGCAG